RNAcentral lists this ribosomal RNA (1177 nucleotides) under Salmonella enterica. RNAcentral's name for it is "partial 23S ribosomal RNA". It matches the Rfam family "Bacterial large subunit ribosomal RNA", at positions 1 to 1219 of the family's 2925-position model. The record is from RNAcentral. Lineage: Bacteria; Pseudomonadati; Pseudomonadota; Gammaproteobacteria; Enterobacterales; Enterobacteriaceae.
GGUUAAGCGACUAAGCGUACACGGUGGAUGCCCUGGCAGUCAGAGGCGAUGAAGGGCGUGCUAAUCUGCGAUAAGCGCCGGUAAGGUGAUAUGAACCGUUAUAACCGGCGAUACCCGAAUGGGGAAACCCAGUGUGAUUCGUCACACUAUCAUUAACUGAAUCCAUAGGUUAAUGAGGCGAACCGGGGGAACUGAAACAUCUAAGUACCCCGAGGAAAAGAAAUCAACCGAGAUUCCCCCAGUAGCGGCGAGCGAACGGGGAGGAGCCCAGAGCCUGAAUCAGCAUGUGUGUUAGUGGAAGCGUCUGGAAAGGCGCGCGAUACAGGGUGACAGCCCCGUACACAAAAGCGUAUGUGCUGUGAGCUCGAUGAGUAGGGCGGGACACGUGGUAUCCUGUCUGAAUAUGGGGGGACCAUCCUCCAAGGCUAAAUACUCCUGACUGACCGAUAGUGAACCAGUACCGUGAGGGAAAGGCGAAAAGAACCCCGGCGAGGGGAGUGAAAAAGAACCUGAAACCGUGUACGUACAAGCAGUGGGAGCACCCUUUGGGGUGUGACUGCGUACCUUUUGUAUAAUGGGUCAGCGACUUAUAUUCUGUAGCAAGGUUAACCGAAUAGGGGAGCCGGAGGGAAACCGAGUCUUAAUUGGGCGUUAAGUUGCAGGGUAUAGACCCGAAACCCGGUGAUCUAGCCAUGGGCAGGUUGAAGGUUGGGUAACACUAACUGGAGGACCGAACCGACUAAUGUUGAAAAAUUAGCGGAUGACCUGUGGCUGGGGGUGAAAGGCCAAUCAAACCGGGAGAUAGCUGGUUCUCCCCGAAAGCUAUUUAGGUAGCGCCUCGUGAAUUCAUCUCCGGGGGUAGAGCACUGUUUCGGCUAGGGGGUCAUCCCGACUUACCAACCCGAUGCAAACUGCGAAUACCGGAGAAUGUUAUCACGGGAGACACACGGCGGGUGCUAACGUCCGUCGUGAAGAGGGAAACAACCCAGACCGCCAGCUAAGGUCCCAAAGUCAUGGUUAAGUGGGAAACGAUGUGGGAAGGCACAGACAGCCAGGAUGUUGGCUUAGAAGCAGCCAUCAUUUAAAGAAAGCGUAAUAGCUCACUGGUCGAGUCGGCCUGCGCGGAAGAUGUAACGGGGCUAAACCAUGCACCGAAGCUGCGGCAGCGACACUCAGG